UGAACUGUAAACAUGUAAUGUAUGUUGCUCUGAUAACAUGUAAGUAAAAACACAAACUUUAUUUUCUUUCUUGGCAAUUGAAAAAGGCAAUAUUGGGCAUGAGAUUUCAACUUUAUUCCUUCCAGACUUCCAACAAGACCACUCCAAAAGAAGUGAAGAAAUGGGUAUGUGGGAGGAGGUAACUAGCUAGUAGUCUUCACAUGGUGGAAUAUAAAAAAGAAAAACAAAAAGAAAAAAAGGAAGAAGAAGAAGAAGAUGAAGAAGACCAACUUUGGUUCUUUUUUUUUUACACUUUAAACAACACUGUUAUGAACCCUUAAGCAGAUUCUGGUAUCAGAACCACAUGCAGAAUCAGAGUCUUCGAUCGAUCUUCUUGAGUCCAUCUAUGGAGGACUUAAUCAACAACAUGACAACAUCAUCCAUAAAUGAUUUCUCAGAGCUUUCCUUCUUCUGUUUAUUGUAGUGUGUAAUGCUGGUGUUUGCCAUUUGGGUCGUCUUCAUAACUCUCCAGAAUUGUCAGAAUAUUCACGUGACCGCUCUCCAUGCUUCAUACGGAUCGCCCAAUCCGGCAUGGGAUCCGAGUUUUUAUAUCUCGACCCGAUUAAAAUACCUAACAUAACACUGCUAUAUUAACGGUCUGUUUGACUGUUUCGGGCCGGACCAAGAUCUGAAAUCUGGGUCCGAUUUGAUUACGAAAACUUUUUUAAAGGUUCCGACCGGCCGGUCAUGAAGCAGGUGGUCGGUGAUCUGCAGAAAGCUCUAGUUCCUUGUGAAGAAACUGAACCGGGUUCAUUGACACGGUCUUGAAGAUUGAUUACGGACCCUAAGUCCGACCCGAUUGUGAUUUUCACAUUCUGGUCCACAUUAGAUAAUAGAAUUGGGUAUAACAACAAAUAACCAUCUGUUACUGUUAGGUAGUUAUGUAAAAAAAAAUCAUUGUAUAAAAAAAUAAAUAUAGGAAAUAAGUAUACUAUAUCAUAAAUUACCCAAAAUUGAGGAUCCGCAACCUCCGAUCCGCUAUCUUCUUCCGCUCAGCUGCUAGAAUCUUCUCAUUCUCGGCAGCGCCACGACACGGAGGAAGGGCGGAAUAAGCAAGCAGGAGCGUGCCGGAGUCCGGUGUAGAAUCUGACCAGUAAUACAGCAAUCUACGGUGGAUGUGGAACAGCGCAACCGUCGAUCGCUAUUUGGUGCCGAAUCGGUGAGAUCGGGAAAGUGUGAUACAGUUUUUUUACCGACGUGGACGUGGGUAAUUAUUAAUUAAUUACUUCUCUUCUUUUUUAAUGUUAAAUUUCAACAAAAAGACUUUUUCUUUUUUACGAUGCAUUUACAAAAUCUACCUUGUAAUUUAUUAUAAUUAAGGAAGAUUGC
Molecule: long non-coding RNA, 1368 nt
Filed under: Zostera marina
Lineage: Eukaryota; Viridiplantae; Streptophyta; Magnoliopsida; Alismatales; Zosteraceae
Description: long non-coding RNA (ZMAR_LNC001157)
Source: RNAcentral